RNAcentral lists this ribosomal RNA (520 nucleotides) under uncultured Glomus. RNAcentral describes it as "SSU rRNA". It matches the Rfam family "Eukaryotic small subunit ribosomal RNA", at positions 569 to 1092 of the family's 1831-position model. The record is from RNAcentral. Lineage: Eukaryota; Fungi; Glomeromycota; Glomeromycetes; Glomerales; Glomeraceae.
AGCAGCCGCGGUAAUUCCAGCUCCAAUAGCGUAUAUUAAAGUUGUUGCAGUUAAAAAGCUCGUAGUUGAAUUUCGAGAUCAAAUUGUUGGUCGUGCCUCGGUACGUACUGGCAUUAUUGAUUUCUCCCUUCUGAAGAACCUUGAUGUCAUUAAUUUGGUGUCUUGGGGAAUCAGGACCGUUACUUUGAAAAAAUUAGAGUGUUUAAAGCAGGCUCACGCUUGAAUACAUUAGCAUGGAAUAAUGAAAUAGGACGUUUGAUUCUAUUUUGUUGGUUUCUAGGAUCGACGUAAUGAUUAAUAGGGAUAGUUGGGGGCAUUAGUAUUCAAUUGUCAGAGGUGAAAUUCUUGGAUUUAUUGAAGACUAACUACUGCGAAAGCAUUUGCCAAGGAUGUUUUCAUUAAUCAAGAACGAAAGUUAGGGGAUCGAAGACGAUCAGAUACCGUCGUAGUCUUAACCAUAAACUAUGCCGACUAGGGAUCGGAUGAUGUUAAUUUUUANGUACUCAUUCGGCGCCUUAAC